RNAcentral lists this ribosomal RNA (415 nucleotides) under uncultured archaeon. RNAcentral's name for it is "SSU rRNA". It matches the Rfam family "Archaeal small subunit ribosomal RNA", at positions 18 to 436 of the family's 1478-position model. The record is from RNAcentral.
CGGCGGCCACCGCUAUAGGAAUUCGAUUAAGACAUGCGAGUCGAGAGUCGUAAUGGACUCGGCGGACUGCUCAGUAACACGUGGAUAACGUGCCCUUAAGUGGAGGAUAAUCUCGGGAAACUGAGAAUAAUACUCCAUAGAUUAUGGAAUCUGGAAUGAUCCAUAGUCGAAAGUUCCGGCGCUUAAGGAUCGGUCUGCGGCCUAUCAGGUAGUAGUGGGUGUAACGUACCUACUAGCCUAUGACGGGUAUGGGCCUUGAGAGAGGGAGCCCAGAGUUGGAUUCUGAGACACGAAUCCAGGCCCUACGGGGCGCAGCAGUCGCGAAAACUUCACAAUGGGGGCAACCCCGAUGAGGGAAUUCCUAGUGCUAUCACAAUUGUGUUAGCUUUUCUCUAGCGUAGAUAACUAGAGGAAU